UGCACAAUCGCUUCCGUGUUCGGCGCGACGCGGCUCCACCGCUUCCGGUUAAAAAUUGCGACGUUCUACACCCGAUGCUUGCAAGAGCUCCCAACAUUAAAUGUCACUGAUGUUCAUCGGAUUUGCAGGACAAUGAAAGCCCCAGCCAGCAAACUGGAUAAAGGAUUUAAAUUAUAUGCUGCAUCAUAUAUACACAACUAUGAAGAUUAAGCUUCUGGAUUCAUCACCAGUGGCGCUGACAUCCAGCCAGUGCUCCUGUGUGGCAGGCACUGUUAUGUGCAAUCACACAGUGGCACUGCUCUUCCAAACAGCGCACUACUCAGAACUCAGAGUUCCUGUUGUCCCUCCUGUCCAUAGCUGCACCGAAUCUGAACAGCAAUGGCACAAGCCACGCACAAUGGGUGUGAAGCCAGGACCCAUCAAUUCUAUGGUCUUCACUAAGCCGGUAC
Long non-coding RNA from Archocentrus centrarchus (flier cichlid), 449 nucleotides. RefSeq lists it as uncharacterized. The record is from RefSeq and is a predicted model, not a curated record. Lineage: Eukaryota; Metazoa; Chordata; Actinopteri; Cichliformes; Cichlidae. The transcript has 3 exons.